Molecule: long non-coding RNA, 12679 nt
Filed under: Olea europaea subsp. europaea
Lineage: Eukaryota; Viridiplantae; Streptophyta; Magnoliopsida; Lamiales; Oleaceae
Source: RNAcentral
AUUUUUUCAUUUUUUUGUUCGGUCUUUUGAUAAAUGAACUCGAAAUAGAUAAAUUAUGUUCCUUUGAUGUCUUUGUUCUAUAUUCUUUGUUCAAUUUCUUGCUUUUGUGUAUAUUUUUUUUUUCCUAUUUCUUCAGUUAUGCUGUUAAAUCUGUUGUCAUUUUAUUUUUGUGUUCGAUCUUUUAGGAGUUCGAACCCAGAAUCCCGGCUAUUUUGACAACUCAGGUUAGUUCCCUUUUUCAAAUUUCUGUAAUUUUAUACUAAUUUCUUUAUUGUAAUGAAUCCCUGUUUGAUUUAUUGAAUUUUACUUUUACGGGAUGAUGAUUAUUGUGAUUAGAAUGACUUGAAAAUACUUUUAUCUGUAUGGAUGUUAGUUGAAGCAUAUGUUAAUUAGUAGUAAUCAUCCUUGACAUCCCUUAGUUAUAUGUCAUAAUUUUACAUGCUGUCAAAUGAAUAAUAAAGUUAGCUUAAGUAUUAACUCUAAGCAAGCACCCCAGCAUCCUCAAAAUGUAAGUAUAUAACUAUUUUUCUUAAAAAAAAUUAUCCUUUAAAUUGUAUUGAACAAUCAAAAAUUUCUUCAAGAAUUUGCCCAAUUUAUUCAUAUUUUUCAAGAAAUUAAUAUUUUUUCUUGAUAAUUGUACUUUUGAAUUGAUAUCUCUAAAUCUUGGAAGAGAAAGAAGAUGAAAUUACAAGGAAGCAAAUUACAAACAAUAGAGAAAGCCACAGCAAGAGAAACGAAAUGGGCCUUACUACAAGUUGUACUCAAAUUUUCCAAUUUUUAUAAAAUUAAGCUUACCUUUCAUGUUUUAAUUUUUUUAUAUUUUCUUGAAUUAGCUGGUUGAUACGCUAAAGAGGAAACAAGGCAUGAAGAAAAUUCUACUUUUACUUGGCUUCAGUUCAUCUUUUAGCAGUAGUUUCGAGGCAUAAGCUUCUGUUCAACAGACCCUCUGACAAGAUGACACUUCUUAUACUAUCGGUGUUAUGAGUGAUCUCCUUAAUAUGCUUUACAUUAUUUUCCUCUAUAGACUUUUUCCAUUGUUCCAUUCCUUAGAUUGAUGUUAGCAAUGUCUUUCUGGUUCGUAUUGACAGGAAUUUUCCAAAUAUAAAAUAUAAGUUUGCAAUUACUGGUAUAACUGUUGAAGUAUAAAGUGAAAACCUUGUUUCUUUUUUGUUUUUGAGUAUUUACAGGACCAGAAAGCACCAGCAUGUUCCAUUUUGUAUGGAGAGUGAAAGUUUCGAUUGAUUACUAUUAAGGAUAGAUGAUACUUAUAUUUCAACUUGGACCAACUCACCACCAAUUCAUCCAAUGAUUUGAAGAUUUUGGAGUGACGAAUGCGAAUAGUUGCAUCCUGGGCUUUUUCUACCGCAGCAAAAGCGAACAUAUACGAAUGAUCUACAUAUUUUUUUCAAGUUUCUUAAUGUUGUGUAUUUGAGCAAGCAAAUAAAAAUGUUUGGUAGUUGAAUGUUGAGGGAGUACAUAUACUAAAAUAUACGAUUCAUUAAGUAAAAUCUAUAUUAUUUUAAUAUUUUUGGACUUGCAUGCUGCAGCCUGUGCUUUAAUUUUUGUUUUUUUUUUUAAAGUUUAGGUCAUUUGUGAGCUGUCUUUGUUAAUGUUGUCCCAGAUCCAAAUUGUAUGAGAACAUCAAUCAAAAUUUAUGUCCAAGUAAUUUGUAUUUUUGUGGUUAAUGAUAUGUAAUUGCCGUUUCUUGCAGAUGACAUUAUGUGAGGCUUUAAAUUUGACACUUGAUGAAGAAAUGUCUACUGACUUCAAAGUCGUUUUAAUGGGUGAAGAGGUAAACUGGAAGUUUUAGUUUACUAUGAGAAGAAAAUGCAAUUAGGCAAAUUGUUGCUUUGCUAUUUUUGGAUUUCACGACUUUUUUUAACUUGUUUAUUACUAAUACAUAGGUUGGUGAGUGUUACUCGUUCAAUAGCACCUCAACUACUUGAAUAACAAAACUUUUCUUAAUCUUAUUUUUAUUUUUUCAGUAAUUAGUAUUUUAUUUUUACUUUAUUUUACUUUAAUUUUCAAAGGACUUUUGAAGAAGUAUGGUCCCGACGGAGUUUUGGAAACUCCUAAUAUUGAGGUUUCUCUUUGCCUUAAAACUUUUGAAUUGUUUUUGUUGUCUUUGUAAUAAUUUCCAUACUCAACCAAUUUAUAUAUUGCAUGCCAGAUUUAUUGGAAUUGGAGUUAGUGCAGCUUACUAUGGUCUCAAGCCUGCGAUUUACAUGACUUUUAACUUCUCUAUGCAGGUGAGAAUUCUUUCUUUGAGCUAUGUUUAACCAUAUUUGGAAAUAUUUCCAUUCAAUUUUGAAUUGAUUCUUUACAAAUCCAAUGGUGCCUCAAUUGUCUGCCAUUAAAUGCAACCUGAGUAUUCUAUUGGUUAAUAUCUUUAAGUGCAUUUGAUUCCAUAAUGAUGCUCUACAAAUGUUAUGAUUUAGCUAAAAUUUGAUUUCGUAUUACCUCUUAAGUGGGAUAUUAAUUUGACAAACUGUGAAAAGAAUUCUAUGUUGGUUUGUACGUUAUUCAACAAGUUUAUCUUGCCUGGAAUCAUGCUAAUUUAACAUAACUAAUUUUGAUUCUGUUACUGGCUUUUUAGUUUUAUAGAAUCUUGAUCUGGUUUCCUCUACCAUGAUAUUUUUUAUUCUUACUUUCUUUGUUUUUUGGAGGUUUCAAAUGAUUAAUUGGUUAUGAUUUAUCUUAAUGGCUUAAUUCAUGAAAGAAAGUGGAUUAAUUGUGCUUAGAGGUAGUAUAUAUAGCAAUGGGUUUGCAAGAUUUUAAGGUAUUGGAGUGUAUAGGAAUUUUAGGCAUUAGCAGUUGUAGAAAUAAUGAAUUAUUACUCGAUUGAACUCUGUAAUGACUAGAUUAAAGUUUGAUUUAUUUGAUUUUGAAAGUCAAUCUACGUUGAGUAUGUUGGACUUGUUAGUUUAUUUAAUAAUAUGAAGAAUGAUUUGUUAAAUAUGAGCAUCUUAAGCUUAAAGAAAUUCUUAGAAAUUUGUUUGAGUUGCUUUAUUGGUAAAAUGUUAUUCAUUUUAAAAUUUUGAUCAAUCACUUUUGACUUUGACUACUCCAGCAACUCUUCUAUUGUCUUCUUUAUGUUGAUUAUAUUAGUUUUAAUUGAAGAGAGAUUAUGAAUAAAUACAUGAAAUUGAGUUAUAUAAACAAACUGAUAUAGUAAAAAAUUUAUUGUCUUCCAAUGCAGCCUCUUGAAAGCCUAAUUGAAUUUCUAUGUUGGAGUUUGAAUAAUUAGCAUCUUAUUCUCAAACUCUGAUAGUUCUUGUCUUAAGCCUUUUGUUUGGUUUUAUUACAAUUUUCUUAUCCUAUAGGUAAUUUUUUUUUGUGGAAAUUGGGUUACAUGGCCUAUCUUAUAAUACACUUUGCAAAUUUAGCCUUUGACUAGGAAAAAAGUAUUAAAAUAAAUAUUUUAAAUUAAAAUUAACAAACUACCUAAAUUACGCUCAUUCUAUCAAAACAGAUUUUUCCUUUUUCAUUUUCAUUUUUCUUUACCAUAUUCAUCUCCUCUCUAGAACGGUAUUCAAUCUUCCCAUUUGACUAGUCAGAGAUCGAUUGGAUCUAGAUUUUCUCUUCUUCUUAAGCCUCGUAUCACAUGUAUAUGCUCAGAUCCAAUUGAUUGAUUGAUUUGAAUGCAAUGGCCAGUAAUAAUAGUAAUGGAGAAGACAUAGAAAGUUCGGAUGAUAAUGAGAUUUCGUUUGGCAGGGGCAUGGGAGGAUGCAAGUACAGACCGCUAUUUGUUCAUGACCACGAUUGAGCUGUGCUUGAGAUGUCGUCAAUCGAUCCUGGUGAUGCAUCUUCGUCAUCUUCGUUACCUGUUCGGAACAAUGUCAAGUAAAUUUAUCUCCACUUUCAUGAUUGCUCUACUACUAAUUUGAAUGCUAGUACUUUAUGUAUUUAAUUGUUUGAGAAGUGAGUAUUUUCGAACAAGUACAACAAUUUCAGCACAGAGAACAACCUUUUGUGUAUCUAAGUUUAAAGAACCUGAGCUUUGAUCGGGCAUUAUGAUUGAAUUUUUUGUUUUUAUGGAACGAAAGAGAAUUAUGUUACCUAUUUGCAGCAUACUAGCAACUGAAAAAAAAAUGGGUGGAAGGAACAUUGGAGAAAUGGGUGACUACAGUCCAUUUGCUUUUUUUCUUUUGAGGGAAAAAAUCUGGAUGCACCUGCCAUAAAUAUUGGAUAUAGGAAGUUGAAUCUAGUAAACACACUUAACGUAUUGACAAGUAUUCAUAUCAUAAACUGUACGGGUAUGUAGAAUGAAAUAUAAGGAGAUAAUGCUUAGACAGUGUUUCAAGUGGCGUUUUGUGUAUUGCCAAAGAUUGCUCAAGAUUAUGUCAAUUAUGUUUGAAAUCAUAAAUUAUGCUACAAAUUAAUGGUUGAAAUAAUAAACUAUGCUCGUUUUGUGUUUGACUUGCUUUUUAGGCAGUAUUUGGUUGGUAUUAUGCGACAAAUUAUAAAUUACAAAGCAUAAGGACCUACUAUGCUAGUGCAACAACUUAGUGUCUUGUUUUAUUCUUACAUGGAGAGAAAUGUGAAAUUAUGCUGCCAAUAUGCCUCUUUUGAUUGGGAAUUGGGCAUGUAAAGAUUCUAGUUUUGGAUAAAACUAAAGCUAUAUAAGCAAAGCUUUGCAAAUUUAUUUAACUUGUGACAGUUAAUGAGAUUAAUUAGACCUCUUUCUAUCAAUUCUAGAAAUAGCACCCCGUCGUUUAUGAAUUAUGAAAAUGUCACUUUGUCGUUUAUCUGUUUUUGAAAAUGAAUUGUACUAAGAAUCACUUAACAUUACUGUAAAUUCUUCACAUUUGUUCAUUGGUUAAUUAACAUGAUCGUUUUAUGAUUUUUAUUGUAGAAAUGGAACACUCAUUUGAGUAUGUGAUUAUCGUUGAAGAUAGAUUUAAAAGGAGACCUUCACAGAAGUGUUCCCUUAAAAAAACUUGACUACGUUCGGGAGAUGUUAGAUGACGUUCAUAGAUAAGUGGUACAUGCCAUUUUGGGCUACAUUCUCGAUUUCACUCUAAAAUUAACAUAAUUGUUCUCUUUGUAUUUUUUCAAUUUUAUGUGAUCGGAGGAUAAAUGACUUAGAUGCUAAUUUUGCCUAGAUGGGAAUGUUUUGUAUGAUUUAGUUGGAAAACAAGUACAUGAAUGUUGAUUUUGUAAUGGACGCUGACUAGUGCAACUAUAAAAUUUUGCAAUGUUUUCAUUGUAUGAAUGUUUUAUUCAAACAUUGAAGUAGUCAAGGUCGAAACAUAGUUGCAGUUUUAUGAUAGCUCGUAUAUUUAUGCAAUGGAAAAACAAAUUGUAUUAUUAACUACACAAAUUUAUCCAAUCUGGAAAACGACAGUUAUACAUUUAAAAUGACCAACAUGUUGUUUUGUGUCACGAGGCCUCGAUCUCACUAAGAAACAAGUAUUGGAGUGACAACAUGUGGUUUUAGGUAACAGGAUUUCAACUUCACUUGAUCAUAUUGAACGAUUACACGUGCUAUAUUUUUGUAUACUCUACCCCCUAAAUGACACCCUUACAUGUAAAAUGAUAGCAUGCCGUUUUGGGUCAAGGGAUCUCAAAUUCACUCCAAAACUAGUAAAAUAGUGUUUUGAACAUCAUAUAAGACUUGUAAAUUUUGAACAAUUACAUGUUUUUCUGUUUUUUAAACUCUAUACCCUAAAACCUAAACCCUAAACGGCAACCCUCCAUUUAAAUUGAUCAGAUGCCAUUUUGCAUCACGGGGUAUUGAUUUCACUCCAAAACUAAUAAAAUUGUGUUUCGAACAUCGUAUAUGAAUUGUACAUGUUGAAUAAUUACAUGUUUUUUUAUUUUGUAAACCCUAUAUCCUAAAACAUAAAAGAUACCCUAAAAUCUAAACCCUAAAUGGCAACUCUUCGUUUAAAACGAUCAUAUGUCGUUUUGGGUCACGGGUUAUUGAUUUCACUUCGAAACUAGUGAAACAUGCUUUGAAACAUCAUAUAUGACUCGUACAUACUAAACGACUACACGUGCUAUGUUUUGGAUGCCAUACUUGCUACUUACGUUUUUCUUUUUUGUUAAGUGAAGCGUAGCUUUCUAGCGGAUUAUGGAGUGACUCACUAUAGUUUGAACAAAUAUGUCGAUCACAAUGUCGAAAUGUAGUUAAAACUUCUAUCCCUAUACUUUCACAUAGUUAAGAGUGUGAAUGAACUGAAACAAACACUAAAUGAAUAGAAACCAGUAAUACGUUUAAAAUAACCAAAUGCAGUUUGGGGUCAUUGAUUAUCAAUUUCACUUUGAAACUAGUAAAAUAUGUUUUGAAACAUCAUACAUGUCUCUUACACAUUGAAAGACUACACGUGCUAUGUUUUGGAUACCAUAAUUGUUACUUAGGUUUUUCUUUGUUGUCAAGUAUAGUGUAGUUUCCUACCGAAUUAUGGAGUGACUCGCUAUAAUUUGAACAAAUGUGUCGACCGUAAUGUCAAAAUGUAGUUGAAACUUUCAUCUCUAAACUUUCAUGUGGUUAUAGGUGCGAAUGAAUCGAAACGAACUCCAAAUGAGUAGAAAUGUCAGCUAUACGUUUAAAAUGAUCAAAUGUUGUUUUGAGUCACGGUAUAUCAAUUUCACUCCGAAACUAGUAAAAACAAUGUUUGGAACAUCAUAGAUAAGAUGUACGAGUUGAAUGAUUGUACAAGCUAUGUUUUGUAUACCAUACUUGUUACAUUUUCCUUUGUAGUUAAAUGUAGUGUAGUUUCCAAUCGAAUGUAUGAUGUGACUCACUAUAGUUUGAACAAAUGUGUCGAUCGCAACAUCGAAAUGCAGUAGAAUCUUUUAUCCCUAAACUAUCAUAUAGUUAUAAACAUGAAUGAACCGAAAUGAAUACUAAAUGAGUAGAAAUGUCAACCAUACGUUUAAAAUGACUAGAUGCCAUUUUAGGUCACGGUGUAUCAAUUUCACUCCAAAACUAAUAAAAUAGUGUUUCGAACAUCAUAUAUGAAUUGUACAUGUUGAAUAAUUACAUGUUUUUCUAUUUUGUAAACCCUAUAUCCUAAAACAUAAAAGAUACUCUAAAACCUAAACCCUAAACGACAAGUCUUCGUUUAAAAUGAUCAUAUGUCGUUUUGGCUCACGAGGUAUUGAUUUCACUUCGAAACUAGUGAAACAUGCUUUGAAACAUCAUAUAUGACUCGUACACACUAAACGAUUACGCGUGCUAUGUUUUGGACGCCAUACUUGCUACUUACGUUUUUCUUUUUUGUUAAGUGAAGUGUAGCUUUCUAACGGAUUAUGGAGUGACUCACUAUAGUUUGAACAAAUAUGUUGAUCACAAUGUCGAAAUAUAGUUAAAACUGCUAUCCCCAUACUUUCACAUAGUUACGAGUGUGAAUGAACUGAAACAAACACUAAAUGAAUAGAAACCAGUCAUACGUUUAAAAUAACCAAAUGCGGUUUGGGGUCAUUGAUUAUCGAUUUCACUUUGAAACUAGUAAAAUAUGUUUUGAAACACCAUACAUGUCUCUUACACAUUGAAAGACUGCACGUGCUAUGUUUUGAAUACCAUAAUUGUUGCUUAGGUUUUUCUUUGUUGUCAAGUAUAGUGUAGUUUCCUACCGAAUUAUGGAGUGACUUGCUAUAAUUUGAACAAAUGUGUCGACCAUAAUAUCGAAAUGUAGUUGAAACUUUUAUCUCUAAACUUUCACGUGGUUACAGGUGUGAAUGAAUCGAAACAAACUCCAAAUGAGUAGAAAUGUCAGCUAUACGUUUAAAAUGAUCAAAUGUUGUUUUGAGUCACGGUAUAUCAAUUUCACUCCGAAACUAGUAAAAACAAUGUUUGGAACAUCAUAGAUGAGACGUACGAGUUGAAUGAUUGUACAACUAUGUUUUGUAUACCAUACUUGUUACAUUUUCCUUUGUAGUUAAAUGUAGUGUAGUUUCCAAUCGAAUGUAUGAUGUGACUCACUAUAGUUUGAACAAAUAUGUCGAUCGCAACAUCGAAAUGCAGUAGAAUCUUUUAUCCCUAAACUAUCAUAUGGUUAUAAACGUGAAUGAAUCGAAAUGAAUAUUAAAUGAGUAGAAACGUCAACCAUACGUUUAAAACGACUAGAUGCCAUUUUGGGUCACAGUGUAUCAAUUUCACUCCUAAACUAAUAUGUCAUUCUAGGUCUCGAGGUCUCGAUUUCACUCCAAAACUAUUCGAUCAUAUUUCAUAAAAUCUUAGAAGACUUAUACAUGCUAAACACGAUAAUUUGUUGAGUGCCUUAUCUCAUAAUUGAAAUAUAAUAGACUUUAAGUUACUUUCCUUCGUUUAUAGUGAAGUUUGUAUUGAUCGCAAUAUCCAAAUGUAAUAAAAUCUUAUAUUCACAACAUCUUAGACGACUUAUACAAGUUAAACAUACUAAUUUGUUGAGUAUCUUAUCUCACAGUUGAAGUAUCUUUGUCUUAUCUCACAAUUGGAGUAUCAUUGAAUUCAAGUUAAUUGCAUACGUUCAUAGUGAAAUUUAGUGUAGUUUACUUAAAAAAAAACAAUAUUGUUGGUUACUACCUUGUUAACUUUUGUAGCGACUUUGGUAUCUAAAUGUAAUGAAAACUUGCAUUCGUUCAUUUUCAUAUGGACACGAAUGAACAUAAAGUGAAAUAAACACAAAAAUAGUUAAAACGAUACUCAGGAAUUUAAAAUGAUAGCAUGCCAUUUUGGGUUAUUGAAGUCUUGAUUUCACUUCAAAACAGUCAUUCAUCUCUCGAAAAAUCUUAUAAGACUUAUAGAAAAAAUAAGCUAAAUUAUUUAGUAUCUUGUCUCAUAAUUUGAAUAUAAUCAAACUUGGAUUACUUAACUUAGUUAGUAGUUAAGUCAAGUGUAAUUUACUCAUAAAACAAUAAUGUUCAUCAUUAUUGUAGGUACUUUGUAUUGACACUGGUAUCUAAAUGUAAUGAAAAAUGCAUUCGUUCAUUUUCAUGUAAAUAUGGGUGAAAAUAAAAUGAAACGUAUAUGGAAUUUGUUGAAACGACACCUAAUCAUUUAAAAUGAUAGCAAGACAUUAUGAGAUCUUGAUUUCACUCUAUAUAUUGUUAAAACUUGUCUAUGUUAAUUUUAAUGUGAAAACGAGAGAGCAAGUGAAACAAAAACGAAAAUUAGUUAAAACGUCAUUGAGCAGUUUAUAACAACAUGUCGUUUGGGUCACGAACCUUUAACUUCACUCCAAAUAUGGUUAAAACUUUUUUUUAUUUAAUUUUCACGUGGAUAAGAGUGAAUAAGCUAAAAUGAACACGAAAUUAGUUAAAAUGACAUUCAAUCAUUUAAAAAGGCAGCAUGCCUUUUUGCCGUUGAUUUUAAAUUGGGUAUGAAAAGUGAAUGAAAUAGGAUCUAUGUUUGAAGAAUUUGGUAAAUUUUGAUUUCAAAUUGGGCAUUUUAGACAAUUUGCAAGAAGGGUAUUUAAGACUUUAACUCAUGAUAAAAUAGAGUAAAUGCUAUUUUACCAAACAUUAUUGAGUGUAGGCUAUUUUAUCAAGAAACUUUGUUGACUAGGCUCAUUAAGCAAAUCCCCCAUUUUUUUUGAAAAUAAGUUAAUAUUUUUUAUAACAAUUUCAUUUAUUUAAGGGAUUCUUAAGUAAAACACAUACUUUAUAUUGUAGUUAUGUUCUAAAUAUCUUCUUUAUGUUUAGUUUUAAACUACCACAUUAUAAAAGUUUAGUGAAGCACACAUCUCUGAAGGAAUUAAUACAUCACGUUUUUUCGAAUAUACAUGUAUAUGAUCAUAAUCUAGAUACAAUGGCAACUAGACUGAUUCUUAUGCCUACAAAUAAAUGUGUUAAUCAUAUUAAUAGAAUUUUACUCAAACUAAUUCCUGGUCAACUUUAUACAUAUUAUAGCUUUGAUGAAGUAAUUGAUAAAUUAGAACAUAGUCUAUAGGAAGAUUUUUUAAAUUGCUUGACUUCAAAAGGUAUUCCACCACAUGAAUUGAGACUUAAAAAGAACGUAAUUCUUGCUGAAAUUACAUCUAGCGAAUAUUGUGGAAAGUAUGUCUUCUUACCAAGGAUUCCUUUUAUGCCUCUGAAAAAUGAUCAAAACUCAACUCCAUUUAGAAUGACUCAAUUUUCAAUAAGACCAUGCUUCGCAAUGACAAUAAAUAAAGCACAAGGUUAAACACUUGACUUUGUUGGAUUGUACCUUCCAGAACCAAUUUUUUGUCAUGGUCAGCUUUAUGUAGCGUUAUUAAGAGCAAAAGCAAGCAAAUCUAUAAAAGUUCUAAUGAAACCAUUAAAUACAAACAAUUUACACAACACAUGUACAAAUAAUAUUGUUUACGAAGAAAUUCUUUAUUUGGUAAACAGAGAUAUCACAUCUUCAUCCUCUACCUCUUGAUUACGAUUUAUAAAGGUGACAAUAGAAUUCUUUUUUUUUUUAAUUGAAUUAAUUUCUUUAAUUUGGUUUAUUUUUAGAUAUAUGAUCUUAUUUCUUCUUCUUCACACUAAUCAUAUUUUUUUCAGGAGAUUGACUACACAAAAUUUCCCAAUGUAGAGAAAUUUGCAGAAAUUCAUGUAUUUCAUAAUCUCAUUUAUCUACAAGGUUUUUGAGGACUAGGUCAGUCUACAUACAUACAUGUACAUAGCACAGAUAUACACACAUACACAUACAUCUACUGGCACUUGAAAAUUGGGAUAUGUUUUUUAUUUUUAACAUCUAGAGACAUGAUCACAUCAAUGUUGAUAUUGACCUUUUAGACACUUAUUAUUCUGAUAUUUGAUUUGGGUCUCAAUUGGGAGCUUGUAAGUGAUGUAAUUAACAGUAAUUUGCAAUUCAAGGUGAGAUCAUUGAAAUUUAAUGCAUGUAUCUUUCUUGAUAGCUCUGAUUUGAAUUUUAUAAUGAAAUAUUUUCAUUUCCUAUUGGGUAGGUUUUUUGUUGAAAUUUUCUAUUUUGUUAUGCCUCCUGAUUUCAUAUACUUCUUUAAGCUUAAAAGAGGAAGACGAAUUAAAAGAUGCAAGUUUUGUUGAAAAGGAGAGAAACUAUGAAAAAUCCAUUGUGUUGGGUAACAAACAGGGUAUGAUAGCAAAUUUAUAUCAUAUAUCAUUUUUUGUAUAAGGAAUUCUCUAAUCCCCUUGAAUUUUCUCUAUUCUCUUCAUUUUCUAACAUUUCCUAAAUUUAAUGUCAACCAUUUAGAGAGAGCUUCUUACAAGGAAUAUGCCAAAGUCGUUAAAGCUCAAGAUCCCAUCAGGUACUUUCACGUUGGAUAGGCAAGGGAGUGAUAAUGAGAACCAUACUUUUGAAGCUGCCAGCGAGAUUAAGAAUCAAGGGCGGAUAAGAUCAAAGAAUGAGCAAGAGGAUAUUAACAGUACUAUUACGAAACAAUUUACUAAUUUGGGAUAAGCUGAGCGUGAUAGAGUGAGGCAAAUUUUUCGUUAAUGGAUGAAAGAUGGUGUUAAAAGUCACACAUCUAAUGGUCUGCAUAGCAUGUCCAGGCCACAAUGGCUUGGUGAGAAUUAAUGUGAAAGGGUGAGAACUGUUAGAGAGUGGGUUCAGAUGGAUAUCCAACAGAGAAGCAGUUGUCACUCACAUAUAGAUGCAGUCGGCGAAGUUGGUUUACAGUUUAUAGACUGGUAGCCAACCUUGGUGCACGAAGGCCUAAUUGAAGAUUAUGUGGCAGACAGACUCUUCCUGAUCUUUUGCAGAGGUCUCAGGUUGAAAGGAAAAUAGAACUAUUGAAGUUGUCUGAGUGGAAAAAAGUUACAGAAUUUGCUCAUCAUAAUUCCAUUCAGGUGAUUACCAUUAAUGAUUUUUUUGUUAAAUUCAUUUAAGCGUGAGAUCCAUUGUUCUAGGUCGUAAAGUGUUACACAGGCUGUCAACCUACAGCAGACCCUCCUCCUUUACCCAGGGGGCUUGGGACCGACUAUAAAAUAUAUAUGCAAACAACUGGUUCUUAUAAAAGAGAGUGCAAUUAUAACUUGUCUUUGUAGAAUAGUCACGGUCUAAUAACAAUGUAUAAACUCAAAGGAAACACUAAGUCAUUAUAUAGACUUGGAAACAAAUUGAAAGCUAAUUUUGUUGAUCUUCAUUGACUUAUUCCUCUCUGAUUAUCUCAAUCUAUCUCAUAUUAUAUGUUAGUGUUCAUAUAGCUGCCAUUCUAAUUCAUUACUGUACUUGGAGAACAUUGGCCCAAAUGUCUCCACUAAGAGCAUUGCAUCCUUUUUACCCCCUCAAUCGUAAACUUUCUUCCUUCUCUAUUUGGAGCUGCCAUUAUGUCAUAAUUCCUUCCAAUUUAUUGGAGGAUAAAUUUUUUGUGAAAUAACUUUCUUUCACAAACAUUUGUUGUGAUUGAAGGGUUAUGUUUAACCAAAUUGCAAAAUGCUUAUAAAGGUAAAAUAUUUACCUGAAGAUGAUACUCAAACUUGCAAUUCUCCUAUUGUCGUAUUCCUACAUCAGGUAGUGUUACACAAUUGAUUGCUUGUAAGUUUCUCUGAAAUUUAAUAUUAUUUUUUUACCUUCACUAAUUCUAUAUUUCUAUUUCAGGCGGUUCUUAGAAGAAGUUUCCUUCAAAAUCAAAGAUUAAUCCAGGAUACAAGACCAUCAUCUGUGGCUGCAAUUGAAUUGGUUUUACUAAAGCAAAGACCUACAGUAUUUGAUCUAAGGUAGAUUUUAGUGAUCCCAAGUGAAUGCUAAUUGGUCAAGUUCACAAAAUUGAAUCUCAUUUUUCUUACUUUCCUUCCUUCAAUACAU